Long non-coding RNA from Mya arenaria, 733 nucleotides. RefSeq lists it as uncharacterized. The record is from RefSeq and is a predicted model, not a curated record. The transcript has 3 exons. Lineage: Eukaryota; Metazoa; Mollusca; Bivalvia; Myida; Myidae.
GGGCCUCUGUCUGGCACUUGCCGGGGUUUGUGGGCCAGCGUGGUUUCGCACGAGCCAUCCCCCGGGACCUGACCCCACGUGGACGUUAGAGGAGGCAUUUGGUUGGCAAGGUUCUGCAGACAUAAGACAGGGGAAUGUAUCUUCACAGCCAGGGAACGUGUGUUCUCACAAAUUGGCAUUGCGCGGUCACUUUCCCCCCUGGAUGAACCGCACUGGCUUGAGUUCAAGGUUCUGUCCGUGGCGAGUCUACUGAGCGGAUUUGCUGCUAUGGUGAUCGCAGCCGUGACCUUGACCAAAGUACACAACUCAGACAUGGCCCCAAAACACAUAUUGCUGAUAUCAAGUUCGGCAUUUUUCUCCACACUUUCUUUUUCAAUCCUUUUUGUGCCAGUCCUCAAAGUUGCACACGUCACGACCAAAACCUCGAAUUUUGGAAAGGCCGCUGACUGUUGGUCAUUCGUCCUGGCAACUUCCGGUGCUGCCUGCAUGUUCACCUCUAGCGCUGCUUUCUUUCUCGCGUUGACAAAAGCCGCUUUUAAUCUAUGUGACCAGAAAAGCAGACGUCGUGAACAUCAUCGGCGUCGUGAUGAAUCCCUUCGACGAAAUGAAAUUAUUGCAAGACACUUUCAUGACACAAACAGAGCGUUCGACAGUGCUUCUGAGGAAAACUCAAUAGUGAACAAUGAACUCAGAGUGUCAGCAGAUAGUGAUUCAACAUACUCGGUGAUUUCAA